CCNCCGCGGUAAUACGUAGGUGGCAAGCGUUAUCCGGAAUUAUUGGGCGUAAAGCGCGCGCAGGUGGUUUCUUAAGUCUGAUGUGAAAGCCCACGGCUCAACCGUGGAGGGUCAUUGGAAACUGGGGAACUUGAGUGCAGAAGAGGAAAGUGGAAUUCCAAGUGUAGCGGUGAAAUGCGUAGAGAUUUGGAGGAACACCAGUGGCGAAGGCGACUUUCUGGUCUGUAACUGACACUGAGGCGCGAAAGCGUGGGGAGCAAACAGGAUUAGAUACCCUGGUAGUCCACGCCGUAAACGAUGAGUGCUAAGUGUUAGAGGGUUUCCGCCCUUUAGUGCUGCAGCUAACGCAUUAAGCACUCCGCCUGGGG
Molecule: ribosomal RNA, 368 nt
Filed under: Bacillus sp. (in: firmicutes)
Lineage: Bacteria; Bacillati; Bacillota; Bacilli; Caryophanales; Bacillaceae
Description: bacterial SSU rRNA
Rfam family: Bacterial small subunit ribosomal RNA
Source: RNAcentral